Bombus terrestris (buff-tailed bumblebee) is the source of this 1580-nucleotide long non-coding RNA. RefSeq lists it as uncharacterized. NCBI's taxonomy places the organism in Eukaryota, Metazoa, Arthropoda, Insecta, Hymenoptera, Apidae. The record is from RefSeq and is a predicted model, not a curated record. The transcript is spliced from 4 exons.
UAUACUGCACCUCCGAAUGCGGACAAGAAAAAAAAGCAUUUGUCGCAUGUAUCCCAACAAAUAUACAAAGUUUCACGUACAAAGUGCACGUGUUGUUUAUGUUUGGCCCGAAGGAUAUACCACGUCUCUAACACGACGUUGUAGGUUAAAAGCUUAAUGAUACAAUAAGGUUAAUUGAAAAUACUUAUAAACUGUAAACAACAAUGUGAUAUUGUAAAUAGUUAUAAUGUGGAAUAUACUUACGAAGACAAACUCAAGGAAAACAACUCAACAGCUUUCACUAAGCUAUGUUUUGUUACAAGUUGAGAUAUUUUGCAAAUUUUUAACCACAAUUUCUAUGGAUUAAAUUAAUGGAAGUCAUAUUCACAAGACACAAGUAUUCCAAGAUCUGGUUAAUGACUAAAUGUACAAAUGAAGGUGCAACAUCCCAUUGGAAGAUAAAGUACAUUAUUGGCAAACAGAUACAGGUACACAAUUUUCAAAGUUUUCAAAGAAGGCACAACAGCUAACUGGUUAAUCAGCAAUUGUAUACUCCAAUAAAUGUACUGUGGCACGCAAUAUGAUUUUUCUCAAAUAUUAAGUUUUCUGAAUGUGAGGUUGGUGGUAGCCAAAACUUUCAUCAUUGAACUCCUCUACUUACAAGUUUUCUAACAAUAUAUCAUGCAUUCUAUGGACAUUAAAGUACUGAAUACUACAGUAUUUCAAAUUUAUUUACUAUGCAGAAAAAACAAUAUUACAUUUAUGUUUCCUUUAUAAAUGUUAUAUUUAUGAUUGUAUAUAUAAAAUGCUAUUUAUCAUAAGAAUAAGGUAAGAAGAGAAGAAACAUUUAUGUCAAAAUAGAAUAAAAACUAGAAUAGAAUAAAAAAUAGAAUAAAAAAAUAUUGAAAAACAGACAUUAUAUGUAUACAGAAGAAUUGAAUCCUGAAUCUUAGCAUAGGACUUUAACGGAUUACCAUCAUACUAUCGCAUUGUUUGUUAAAUACCACAGUUGAAUCACAUUUUAGCGUAGUAAUAAAAUUUCAAUCACUAAUGUUUCAAAAAAUAUUGGAUCUUUGCCCUUAUAAUGGAAUACUUUUGCAGAGUGAGGAUCUUCCCAUAUGCAGAAUUUUAACUAAAUCAGUAAUACAAAUGUCUUGCAGUUCCCUUGUUAUUUGUUAAUUAUGAAUUUACAUAUAUAUGAAUCGAUAUAAUUAUUUUUUUCUUUUCAUUGUGUUAAAUAGUUACAUUAACUAAGUCAUACUAGAGUAACUUAACACAUUAGCACCAUGACUCACAUAUAUGUCAUUUGGAUUCCUCUGCUAGAACCUGAAUGAUAUAUAUAGAUGAGUUUCUAAAUGCUCUGAUGCCAAUGUGUUAAAGGAUUAUAAGUUCUUUGAAAUACAAUUGGGGAGAGAGACAUUACAAUUCUCACAAUCAUAAAUCAUAAAACAUUAAAUAAUUUCAGUUCACUAAUACAUAUAAAUUCCUAAAAGUAUAAUACAUUGAUUAAUAAAUAAACAAUCCUGAUAUUGUCUUGGCAAUAUAAUAACAAAUAUGAUAUAUUCAUUGCUACUUCUUUAACUGUUAUUUUAUAUAUGAUU